Molecule: long non-coding RNA, 1301 nt
Organism: Daphnia pulicaria
Lineage: Eukaryota; Metazoa; Arthropoda; Branchiopoda; Diplostraca; Daphniidae
Exons: 3
Source: RefSeq, a predicted model, not a curated record
AGUUUACUCCAGCACAGUGGACAUGCUGUGCAAAGUUAAUCGUCGUAUGUGAAAUUUGAUUUUGAACUUUCUUCGGAUGCGUCUCUCAAAAAACGUGGCGUUGAUCAUACAGAGAAGGCAGGCAUGUCAACGGUGAUGAAAGGAUCGCGCAAAUGCAAAAUAAAUUGUCGACCUAUUCCACAUUGGUUUUCCUCAGCAUAAAUAUUCAACACAAUCAAGAGAGCCAUUACAUUAGGUCAGAUUCGAUCAGGUAAGUUUAACCGCACAGAGCCGGUAAUUGGGUUCGCCGGAGUUAGUCUGUCUUGUCCAGAAUUUCAAAUGACUGUAUAAUCGAAAGAAAAGUUUAUGCUACUGAAGUAUUCCGUUAUUACCUAGUCAUGAAGCCAUAUUUUGAAAAUGAUUUACUACUCAAUUAUUCCACAGGCGCUCUUCAUUUCUCCACGUAUAGUAUUUCCCCUGUGCACAUUUUAGCAUCAUUCGACGAAAACUCGGAAAGAAAGUGGGAAAAACUCCUCUCAAUUUUCUAACAACUAACAAGGGAACUUUAUUGGCCAUCCUUAAUCGCAUGGGGUGAGAAAACAUAUAGGAUUUUAGAGAAAAAACAUCAAUUGACGGCGGAUUUUCCAUUAACAUUAAAUGCUUUGACCUAUUCAAGCGAUAUAAGCUGUAUACAUGGUUCUUGAUAGGAUACUGAAGUAUAAGCUCGGAGGGGGGGGGGGGGAUUUGUAAUAUUAAUCCGCUUUUACCAGACAUUCACACGGCAUGCUACACCGAACAUGAAUCUCAUACAAAAAGUUAAGGUGCGUCUCAUUGUCAUUCUCAACUGCGCGCCUCCCAUCUCCAAUCUAAAGUAGAAGAAGUGACAAGUCGAAAAUAUCGUCAUUCUCUUAUCUAAAAUAUUUUGUAAUUUGUAUUCAUCUUUUUUUAUAUAUUCGAGCUUCACUAUGCACAAUAAAUGUACUUAAUUGUACUAUCUAUUAGGAGUAAACUGUUUACCGCCCAUCAAACAUGCCGCUCAGUACCGUUAGUACCGCUUGAAUUGGUUGGUUGCAUAACUUACAUAACGUGUGCUUUUACGGAGAAGAUAGCAGCAUCCGUUCAAAACUCUUUGUAAACUGGUGAUAAUGUGUUAACUUAAAAAAUAGCAUAACAAAUUAGGUUGAGUUGAUGACAUCUGGAAGUCUAAAAGUCUGAAAGUCAAGGAGGCGAGCAUUAAACAUACAUUUUACUUGUUUUGAAAAUGCGAGUUUGAAUAUAUGACUUGACUUCGUCGUCAAACUAUUCUCAACAGUCAACUGCUU